RNAcentral lists this non-coding RNA (46 nucleotides) under Schistosoma bovis. RNAcentral also lists the same sequence under 1 other name. Lineage: Eukaryota; Metazoa; Platyhelminthes; Trematoda; Strigeidida; Schistosomatidae. The record is from RNAcentral.
GCACUGCUGAGGAGUCCCAUACUAAGACGAAACGGCCGUCCAGUAC